This is a non-coding RNA of Bacillus sp. LL01, 120 nucleotides long. The record is from Rfam. Lineage: Bacteria; Bacillati; Bacillota; Bacilli; Caryophanales; Bacillaceae.
UACCUCUUUAACCCAGUCCUGCGAGGCUGACAAGAGGGUCGCUCCUUACUAGUAGUCUGAUCUCUUUAUCAGACCAGUUAGGUGAAACCUCUUUGUCAUACGCAAAGAGGUUUUUUGUUU